AUUGAACGCUGGCGGCAGGCUUAACACAUGCAAGUCGAGCGGGGUGAUGGUGCUUGCACUAUCACUUAGCGGCGGACGGGUGAGUAAUGCUUAGGAAUCUGCCUAUUAGUGGGGGACAACAUCUCGAAAGGGAUGCUAAUACCGCAUACGUCCUACGGGAGAAAGCAGGGGAUCACUUGUGACCUUGCGCUAAUAGAUGAGCCUAAGUCGGAUUAGCUAGUUGGUGGGGUAAAGGCCUACCAAGGCGACGAUCUGUAGCGGGUCUGAGAGGAUGAUCCGCCACACGGGGACUGAGACACGGCCCAGACUGCUACGGGAGGCAGCAGUGGGGAAUAUUGGACAAUGGGGGGAACCCUGAUCCAGCCAUGCCGCGUGUGUGGAGAAGGCCUUAUGGUUGUAAAGCACUUUAAGCGAGGAGGAGGCUCUUUUGGUUAAUACCCAAGAUGAGUGGACGUUACUCGCAGAAUAAGCACCGGCUAACUCUGUGCCAGCCGCCGCAGUAA
This 503-nucleotide ribosomal RNA is filed under the name uncultured bacterium. RNAcentral describes it as "partial 16S ribosomal RNA". It matches the Rfam family "Bacterial small subunit ribosomal RNA", at positions 30 to 523 of the family's 1533-position model. The record is from RNAcentral.